UAGGGAAUCUUCCACAAUGGGCGCAAGCCUGAUGGAGCAACACCGCGUGAGUGAAGAAGGGUUUCGGCUCGUAAAGCUCUGUUGUUAAAGAAGAACACGUAUGAGAGUAACUGUUCAUACGUUGACGGUAUUUAACCAGAAAGUCACGGCUAACUACUUGCCCG
RNAcentral lists this ribosomal RNA (164 nucleotides) under uncultured bacterium. RNAcentral's name for it is "partial 16S ribosomal RNA". It matches the Rfam family "Bacterial small subunit ribosomal RNA", at positions 355 to 511 of the family's 1533-position model. The record is from RNAcentral.